This 472-nucleotide ribosomal RNA is filed under the name uncultured bacterium. RNAcentral describes it as "partial 16S ribosomal RNA". It matches the Rfam family "Bacterial small subunit ribosomal RNA", at positions 355 to 818 of the family's 1533-position model. The record is from RNAcentral.
UAGGGAAUCUUCCACAAUGGACGCAAGUCUGAUGGAGCAACGCCGCGUGAGUGAAGAAGGUUUUCGGACCGUAAAGCUCUGUUGUUGGUGAAGAAGGAUAGAGGUAGUAACUGGCCUUUAUUUGACGGUAAUCAACCAGAAAGUCACGGCUAACUACGUGCCAGCAGCCGCGGUAAUACGUAGGUGGCAAGCGUUGUCCGGAUUUAUUGGGCGUAAAGCGAGCGCAGGCGGAAGAAUAAGUCUGAUGUGAAAGCCCUCGGCUUAACCGAGGAAUUGCAUCGGAAACUGUUUUUCUUGAGUGCAGAAGAGGAGAGUAGAACUCCAUGUGUAGCGGUGGAAUGCGUAGAUAUAUGGAAGAAUACCAGUGGCGAAGGCGGCUCUCUGGUCUGCAACUGACGCUGAGGCUCGAAAGCAUGGGUAGCGAACAGGAUUAGAUACCCUGGUAGUCCAUGCCGUAAAACGAUGAGUGCUA